AUUGAACGCUGGCGGUAGGACUAACACAUGCAAGUCGAGCGAGCGGCGGACGGGUGAGUAAUGUCUGGGAAACUGCCUGAUGGAGGGGGAUAACUACUGGAAACGGUAGCUAAUAACGCAUACCAUCAGAUGUGCCCAGAUGGGAUUAGCUAGUAGGUGGGGUAACGGCUCACCUAGGCGACGAUCCCUAGAUGGUCUGAGAGGAUGACCAGCCACACUGGAACUGGGACACGGUCCAGACUCCGACGGUAGGCAGCAGUGGGGUAUAUUGCACAAUGGGCGCAAGCCUGAUGCAGCCAUGCCGCGUGUGUGAAGAAGGCCUUCGUGUUUGAAAGCACUUUCAGCGGGGAGGCGUUACCCGCAGAAGAAGCACCGGCUAACUCCGUGCCAGCAGCCGCGGUAAUAC
Molecule: ribosomal RNA, 406 nt
Filed under: uncultured bacterium
Lineage: Bacteria
Description: partial 16S ribosomal RNA
Rfam family: Bacterial small subunit ribosomal RNA
Source: RNAcentral